CCGGCACGGGUGAGUAACACGUAUCCAACCUGCCGUCUACUCUUGGCCAGCCUUCUGAAAGGAAGAUUAAUCCAGGAUGGCAUCAUGAGUUCACAUGUCCGCAUGAUUAAAGGUAUUUUCCGGUAGACGAUGGGGAUGCGUUUCAUUAGAUAGUAGGCGGGGUAACGGCCCACCUAGUCAACGAUGGAUAGGGGUUCUGAGAGGAAGGUCCCCCACAUUGGAACUGAGACACGGUCCAA
This 239-nucleotide ribosomal RNA is filed under the name uncultured bacterium. RNAcentral's name for it is "partial 16S ribosomal RNA". It matches the Rfam family "Bacterial small subunit ribosomal RNA", at positions 100 to 334 of the family's 1533-position model. The record is from RNAcentral.